UACGAAGGGGGCUAGCGUUGCUCGGAAUCACUGGGCGUAAAGGGUGCGUAGGCGGGUCUUUAAGUCAGGGGUGAAAUCCUGGAGCUCAACUCCAGAACUGCCUUUGAUACUGAAGAUCUUGAGUUCGGGAGAGGUGAGUGGAACUGCGAGUGUAGAGGUGAAAUUCGUAGAUAUUCGCAAGAACACCAGUGGCGAAGGCGACUUCCUGGCCUGUUCUUGACGCUGAGGCGCGAAAGCUAGGGUAGCAAACGGG
This 253-nucleotide ribosomal RNA is filed under the name uncultured bacterium. RNAcentral's name for it is "partial 16S ribosomal RNA". It matches the Rfam family "Bacterial small subunit ribosomal RNA", at positions 524 to 776 of the family's 1533-position model. The record is from RNAcentral.